RNAcentral lists this ribosomal RNA (305 nucleotides) under uncultured bacterium. RNAcentral's name for it is "bacterial SSU rRNA". It matches the Rfam family "Bacterial small subunit ribosomal RNA", at positions 334 to 630 of the family's 1533-position model. The record is from RNAcentral.
UACGUCCUACGGGGGGCAGCAGUAGGGAAUCUUCCACAAUGGGCGAAAGCCUGAUGGAGCAACGCCGCGUGGGGGAAGAAGUUCUUCGGAUCGUAAAACCCUGUUGUUAGAGAAGAAAGUGCGUGAGAGUAACUGUUCACGUUUCGACGGUAUCUAACCAGAAAGCCACGGCUAACUACGUGCCAGCAGCCGCGGUAAUACGUAGGUGGCAAGCGUUAUCCGGAUUUAUUGGGCGUAAAGAGAACGCAGGCGGUCUUUUAAGUCUGAUGUGAAAGCCUUCGGGUUAACCGGGGUAGUACAUUGGG